GUUGGUUUGAGCCUGGCAUGUGUCAUGCCCUGAUCCUCCCCUUUUGCUGUUGCUAAAGACAUUUCAGCCUGUCUUUUCAGUGUGUGUCCCUGUUGGAUGCUGCUUUGGAUCUGUUUAUUGCCCUCCCUGCAGUUUAACAGCAGGUUAUUUGAAGGCUGUGUAUCCAGAGCGGUGAAUUCUCAGGAACUUAUCUAUCCGCGUUUGGAUCCUCCUUCUCUCCUUCCUCCUUUUUCGUCCUGGGUGAUUAUUGCUGCGAUUCGACUUUUCCCUCGCUGCGUGCCGAGUGAACAACCUCGGCUUACAACUAUUUAAAAGGGGAAUUCUGCUGCUGCCAUUUGGCUUCUGUGAUUUGUUUUAACCGGUAUUGUCUGGUCUACUGUGGGGUCGAGCAACGUGCAAGUAUCGGGCUGGCUUGAA
Molecule: long non-coding RNA, 417 nt
Organism: Silurus meridionalis
Lineage: Eukaryota; Metazoa; Chordata; Actinopteri; Siluriformes; Siluridae
Exons: 4
Source: RefSeq, a predicted model, not a curated record